AUGCGGUGGCACGCAGAAGACCGUAAGAAAGACGGAAAGUUGAGUGUACCAGCUGACGGGUCGCAGUGGAGAAAAAUCGAAAGAAAGUACGGGAAGGAGUUUGCAGAUGACGCAAGGAGCGUAUGGUUUGGUCUAAGCGCAGAUGGCAUUAAUCCUUUUGGGGAGCAGAGCAGCAACCAUAACACCUGGCCUGUGACUCUAUGUUUGUAUAACCUUCCUCCUUGGUUGUGCAUGAAGCGGAAGUUCAUUAUGAUGCCAGUGCUCAUCCAAGGCCCUAAGCAACCCGGCAAUGACAUUGAUGUGUACCUAAGGCCAUUAGUUGAAGAAUUCUUACAACUGUGGAAUGGAACAGGUGUACGUGCGUGUGAUUAG
This 372-nucleotide ribosomal RNA is filed under the name Triticum aestivum (bread wheat). Its description in RNAcentral is "partial small subunit ribosomal RNA". The record is from RNAcentral. Lineage: Eukaryota; Viridiplantae; Streptophyta; Magnoliopsida; Poales; Poaceae.